UGGAGUAUAGCUCAGUUGGUAGAGUGCACGGCUGGGGGUCGUGAGGUCGCUGGUUCAAGUCCGACUACUCCGACGA
This 76-nucleotide transfer RNA is filed under the name Candidatus Magasanikbacteria bacterium CG11_big_fil_rev_8_21_14_0_20_43_7. RNAcentral describes it as "tRNA-Pro". It matches the Rfam family "tRNA". Rfam says of the family: Transfer RNA (tRNA) molecules are approximately 80 nucleotides in length. Their secondary structure includes four short double-helical elements and three loops (D, anti-codon, and T loops). Further hydrogen bonds mediate the characteristic L-shaped molecular structure. tRNAs have two regions of fundamental functional importance: the anti-codon, which is responsible for specific mRNA codon recognition, and the 3' end, to which the tRNAs corresponding amino acid is attached (by aminoacyl-tRNA synthetases). tRNAs cope with the degeneracy of the genetic code in two manners: having more than one tRNA (with a specific anti-codon) for a particular amino acid; and 'wobble' base-pairing, i.e. permitting non-standard base-pairing at the 3rd anti-codon position. The record is from RNAcentral. Lineage: Bacteria; Candidatus Magasanikiibacteriota.